Molecule: long non-coding RNA, 223 nt
Filed under: Lathyrus oleraceus (garden pea)
Lineage: Eukaryota; Viridiplantae; Streptophyta; Magnoliopsida; Fabales; Fabaceae
Description: Pisum sativum (pea) long non-coding RNA (PSAT_LNC007624)
Source: RNAcentral
CCGGAGAGAUCAGCUCAUCUCCUGCCUACGUACCUCAUCUGGUAUGAGGAUCAGGGCGACGUAGUUCCCCUACGCAGGGAAAGAACUUCUAACCUAACCAGAGACUGGGAAAUGACAAACUAGAAGGGAGUCUGACUCGAGCCUAAUAGUUAUCAUGUAAAUUCACCAUGGUCCUAGGUUAAGGUUUCUAUCUAACUUGCACAGAGAGCAAGCUAUCCUAAAC